RNAcentral lists this ribosomal RNA (251 nucleotides) under uncultured prokaryote. Its description in RNAcentral is "partial 16S rRNA". It matches the Rfam family "Bacterial small subunit ribosomal RNA", at positions 525 to 775 of the family's 1533-position model. The record is from RNAcentral.
ACGUAGGGGGCAAGCGUUGUUCGGAAUUACUGGGCGUAAAGGGCAUGUAGGCGGUUUAGUAAGCUUGGCGUGAAAGACCACAGCUCAACUGUGGGGUUGCGUUGAUAACUGCUGAACUUGAGUUACGGAGAGGGAGCUAGAAUUCAUGGUGGGGUGUUUGAAUCUGUGGAGUUCUGGAAGGGUUCCGUUUACGAAGGCAACCGUUUGUCCUAUAGCUGACGCUGAUAUUCUAAAGUGUAUUGAUCAAACAG